Molecule: ribosomal RNA, 406 nt
Filed under: uncultured bacterium
Lineage: Bacteria
Description: partial 16S ribosomal RNA
Rfam family: Bacterial small subunit ribosomal RNA
Source: RNAcentral
AUUGAACGCUGGCGGCAGGCCUAACACAUGCAAGUCGAACGAGUGGCGGACGGGUGAGUAAUGUCUGGGAAACUGCCCGAUGGAGGGGGAUAACUACUGGAAACGGUAGCUAAUACCGCAUACCAUCGGAUGUGCCCAGAUGGGAUUAGCUAGUAGGUGGGGUAACGGCUCACCUAGGCCACGAUCCCUAGCUGGUCGGAGAGGAUGACCGGCCACACUGGAGCUGAGACACGGGCCAGACUGCUAAGGGUGGCAGCAGUGGGAAAGAUUGCACGAUGGGCGCAAGCCGAAUGCAGCCAUGCCGCGUGUAUGAAGAGGGCCUUCAGGUUGUAAAGUAGUUUCAGCGAGGAGGCGUUACUCGCAGAAGAAGCACCGGCUAACUCCGUGCCAGCAGCCGCGGUAAUUC